Molecule: long non-coding RNA, 754 nt
Filed under: Oryzias sinensis (Chinese medaka)
Lineage: Eukaryota; Metazoa; Chordata; Actinopteri; Beloniformes; Adrianichthyidae
Description: lncRNA (ENSOSIG00000008759.1)
Source: RNAcentral
AUGUUUGCAGAAGCCGUCUCCAAAUGCCACGAUGGACAAAAUACAAAAUUCCACAGUUUUAAAUAAUACAAAGUAUGAUUUAAGUGAGGCGAAUCCACAUUUUCAUGAGUCACAUGACUCCAGGUGUACUGUCAGAGAAGACUCCCUCACAGGCCGGACUGGAUCUUUGACUGAAAUGGACAGUUUGUCAGAGCUCUUUUCUACUGAGGACACUGAAUUGUCUGACACCUCUGUUUCACAGAACACAAGAAGAAAAGUCCCUGAUGACCACGGCAUGCCAUACGAGAGUAAGCGAGGAGCAGCAUCCAUCCGGAGCCCAUGUUUUGUGGAACAGGAGCCAACGCCUCUGCAGGUCCAGCUGCAGUCCUCUGAAGAGAUUUGCACAAUUCCUGAAGCCAGCCAGUCAGUCACGGUGAUCAGGAAUCAGGGCAGCCAGAGAACCAUCUCCACUCGCACAGAAACAGAUGGAAGUGAUCUUUGUGCAGCGGUCCUGCUGGCCUGCCUGUUCUGCCGCCCACUGGACUGUCUGCUGGCCACAUUCAGAGCCUGCAAUGGCUGCAUCUGGUCCUUCUCUUCAUUCCUGUGUGGCUGUGAGCCCUCUGCCCUGCAGCCUCUCCAAGGCGUCAUCCAAAGCUUCAGCCUAUGCGGCUGUCCUGGUAUUCGCAGCUUGGUGUGCGCUCCAUGUAACAUCUGCCUCCAGGCCACCGAGUGCCUGGACCUCGCGAUGGAAAUCUCUCAAAUGCUGUACCACUAA